Molecule: long non-coding RNA, 2242 nt
Filed under: Gallus gallus (chicken)
Lineage: Eukaryota; Metazoa; Chordata; Aves; Galliformes; Phasianidae
Source: RNAcentral
GUAAAUUCUGUGUUAACAGCUGUAGAUAUAAUCUGAAUGAGUUUGCUGGUGCCAGCUCAGAGAGGCUUUCAUUUCUUGGAGUGCUGCGUGUCCUGGCCAAGCAAACUUCAUUUGCCCAUUAACAAGCAUUUGUAACAGUGGACAAGUUGUCAAGAUGCAUUUUAAUACUUGUCCUUAAAUUUAGUGCCCAAAACCUGAGGAGAGGGAAGAAAGCAGAACAAACAAACAAAAUAAACAUAGAAAAAUGCUUCCUGAAAGGUGCUCUCUGGGCUUAAUUUUUGAAUCUCUCACCAAGCACCAGCAUGGGAGUUUCUGGUACUCUUUAGUGCUUAGUUGAAGCUUAAGUUAUAUUUAAACUCAUUGACUCUAUAGACAGAUAAUACUUUGUUACUUCUAACUUCAAGAAAAUGCUCUGUAAAAGCAUCACAGAUGUGAUAAAUGCUAACUUUCAGUUUAAGCUAAAUAUGACUUUCUGGUUAACAUCACUCAGCUGUGAAUGCAGGUGUCCCUUGUGUUCUCUGCGCCAUGUGGGACAGCUAGCUGCUAUAGUUCCAUAUACACCUACUUGUGUGAUGUUGUUCAUGUAACUGGCUUCUUUCUACAUCCACUCUCUGCUUCUGGUGGUAAUCCUGCCAGUGUGAUAACUUUUCCACUCUUCAGAGGUCAGUGUUAUUUCUAAGUGGUCUGCUCAGAACGCGGAGCUCUGCUCUGGGAGCACCCAGGUUCCAAUGCAGUCAUGUGCCAGAGAUGAUACGCUUUCCAAGAGGACUGUAGAUCUAUUUUCUCUUCUCUCGCUCUUUAAGAAUGUCUCGUUUCUGAUUGUAUUGCAAUGUACUUGGGUGUGCGUGCCUGUCUAGGUGUGCUGUCUUUCUAGGGUGCUUCAGGGUAAGUAAAAACAAAAGGAGGGAUUUCCCUCUCUAUUUUUGCCUAAGAAUCCUAUUCCCACAAAUUCUGUCCAGACUAACCUGGAGAUGGGUCUACAUUAGCAAGAAGGAAGCAGGCAGACCUGCUGAUGGGGUAAGGGAAAAGAUUUCAGCACGUCUGCAAAUUUGCAAAGAGGCUGAAGUUUGGGCAGGAGGUGAGCUAACAUCAGAUAAGGGUUCUGCAGGCUGUCUCAAACCUGUUACCCUGAGAGGUGGGGAGAGGGACCCACUAACGUGGUGCUGCUCACUGAAGGUAGCACGGGGCCUGGAAUGGGAAACAGCAAUUCAGCUGCACGUUGCCGUGCACUCUUGAGCUUGAAACUGUCUCUCCCUUUAAUAGCUACAGGCCAGCAUAAAGCAUGCUGCAAAAUAAAUUGAAUUCUGUGCUAACCCAGGUGGUAUAUGAUUAUCUCCUUCCUCCUGAAAGGUUUGCCAUAACUAUGUAUCAAAGCCUCACCUUGGUCUGAAAGCUGGGGGCAUCGGAGAAACUUACAGCGAGAGAAAGGAAUCCGGAGCUGAUUCUCUAUUGCUGCUGCUAUAAAAUUGCCCUUGAAUGUUUGCGGUGGCUGUGAUUGUGUUGAGGGAAGCAACCCUAAAUUAGCGAGGGGAGGUUGUAAUUGUGAGCUGGGCUUAGGGAAUGGGUUAGCAGAAAGGUUGAAAAUGCACAGGUCGGCACAGUGGUUUUGCCAGGUGCUAAGAUGUUGGAAAAUGCUGCAAUUAUCUAAUAGUAAUUCACAGCCUACGAUGCUACUCAGGCCCUCCCCUUCCUGUCCCAUCAAUAAUAAUAAUAAAUUAGGUCUUACUAUUAAAGUACAAAAACUGUGUCAAGUUUUGAAUUGUCUUCUACUGACACAACUAAUAUGUAAUCAAACAUUUAAUUAAGACUGCAGAAUAUUGCGGUACCGUGUAAUCCGUCUCCUUUCAGCCUCUUGAAAUAGUCGGUUCAAGCCAAGCACAAAAGAAUAACUUUGUAUAUGAAGCUUUUCAUUUCUGUUUAUGGUGAGUUUGAGAUUGGAAAAAGCAAUAAUGUAUUGUUUGUAGGGCUGAAUGAAGCCGAGGCUUUCAAGUCUGCAGACUGGCAUGUUUGAGGACACGUGGAAUCAAAUGGCUAUCAAGGAAGAAAGGAAGAGCUUCCUGAUCCCAGAGGGCUGUGGUUCCAAAAUUGCUGGCAAUUCAGAGAAGCAGACUGAGUAUUGGAAUUGGGUGUCUACGUGGAAACUGGUUUUGCUUUAUUGAGCAGGGUAUGCUCUUGUGUUACAGGAGCUGUGUGUACAAAGCCACAGCAGAUGGGACCUGCAGGACAACCACAGGCAUCGCUC